GCCGGAAGCGCGGCGCGCUGCAGCCGGACAGCGGUCCGGGCGGCUCCCGCCUCCCCAGCGGCGCGAAGUUCCUCCCUCUUCGCCUCCCGCCGCCUUCGUUAUCUCCUCGCCGCCUCUCCCGCUGGGGGCACGGUGCCCCUCCCGCCUCCGCCCUGCGGGGAGCCGCCCCAGCCUGGCCGCCCCGCGGGCAUCCGGCCUCCGCGGGGGCGGUGGGCGAAGGAGUAAAAGCGGGCCCCGAGAGGGACCAGGGGUCGGAGCUGGAGCUGCGGCUGCUCGUGGAAGUUAAACAGAAGAUGAUAGGUAGCAAUGAAUCCUCUACUGAAGGACCAAUACCUACAUCCUACUUAAGCUUCCUGGCUUACUUACUGGGAGAAUGGACUGGUGUGGAACACACUGAAGAUUAUCUGAGUUAUGGAGCCUACCUUUCAUGGGUGCUUUUUCCACUUGCAAUAGUUUUUAUACUUCCAGUAGCUAUCUUCUUCUUCUGCUUCAACACUUCCCUUCUCCUUCUUCAUAUUUAUAAAAGGAGGAAGAAUGGAUUUAAUGAAGGACAUUCUGGUGAUGUUUGGUAUGGUGCAAAAGAAAUGUUGGCUAACCUGUGGGAUGGACAUGGGAGAGUAUGGCAUGGUUAUGAACUUCACGGGGAUGAAAAUAUUCCAGAAGGACCAGCACUGAUUGUGUUUUAUCAUGGAGCUAGUCCUGUUGACUAUCUCUAUUUCAUGGCUAGACUUCUUAUACGAAGGAAGAGAUACUGCCACGUAGUAGCGGAUCAUUUCGUCUUUAGAUUACCAGGUUUAAAAAUGUUUAUUGAAGUACUUGGCGUUAUGCAUGGACCAAAAGAAGUAUGUGUCAGUGCUCUGAAGAAAGGCUAUCUGUUAGCUAUUUCUCCAGGUGGAGUUCGGGAAGCACUCUUUAGUGAUGAAACAUAUGCUAUUAUGUGGGGUAAUCGAAAGGGCUUUGCCCAGGUGGCCAUUGAUGCAAAAGUGCCCAUCAUUCCUAUGUUUACACAAAAUGUUCGAGAAGGCAUUAGGACAUUAGGAGGAAUAAAAAUAUUUAGGAAACUGUAUGAACGUAUAAGAUUGCCAAUAGUUCCUAUGUACGGCUGGUUUCCAGUCAAGUUUCGUACGUUUAUCGGAGAACCCAUUCCAUAUGAUCCAAAUAUAACUGCUGAGGAACUGACUGCGAAGACAAAAGCAGCACUCCAGGCUCUAAUAACCAAACAUCAGAAAAUACCAGGAAAUAUACUGAGGGCUUUAAUGGAACGAUUUCAAACACGACAGAAAGAAGACUAAGGUCUUCUGAGCAGUGUGCCAAGCAAGAGAUGACAGAGGAGACAUGAAGAAGGAAAGCAUACAAACUUGUGGUAUCAGCCUUUUUAUGACAAGAUGAGGAUGUGCUACCUCAAAUUCAAUCAGAUUUGAUAAUAAAUUACUGGGAACAGCUCCUAUUUUGCAACCAGGGAGAGCAAAAGACGUUUGGCUGUACAUCAGUAGGCUGCAUCAAGAGAAGGUGGAAGUGAUUCAUCCCAAUGUAAAUGCCCUGCUGCUGGGGUGGAGUGAAAUCAAUUUGAAGAGGUUCAGCAGGUGGUGGCAGCUCGCUGAAGUAAAUAAAUCAAAUGAAGAAAACAUGACUGUUCCCAGGGUAUAGGAGGAGCUCCAGUCAAGGCUGCAUACCAGUUAAAACAGCAGCGAUGCGAAGUGGCACAGAGGGAGCAAGCUAUUCACACAGCUUGAUGUGGACUGAAAAAGCCAGCAUGGGAGGGGCCUUCGUUGCAGAAUAACUUAAAUCUGAACAUUUGGAGCCCAGAAAGAAUCAGGAGACAGCACACGCCCUCUCGAUGCGCAGGCAGCAGCUGGUGGUGUCCAGCUCCAUUUCUCACUUUCCCCAUCAUGCCAGACAGGCUGCGUGUCUCCUCUCUGGCUUUCCCUUCUCCUUCUGCAUGACUGGACCUGGACACUUGCAACUUCACCUCUGGGCACUGUCUUUGUGUAUUUGUCCCUAAAUCAGGCAAUUGUAAGAGAAAUAACUAAGAGAUCUUGAAACCAGAAGCUUCUCUCUUUCUUCCUGCUGCACCAGGUGCCUGGUAAAGUAAACAAGUAAAUCAUCUAUCAAGAGAUCUGGCUUCCUGUGUGAAUUCAAAUGGCACCUCUUCAGAACCUCUUUUGAAUCGAGAUAGUAGAUAAUGCAGAGCAAAUUAUUGCUUCUGAUAACUCAGGUUUCAGAGAAAUGUCAGAUAAAUUCUUCAAGGCAAGCCGUAAUGAACACAAGGCUUUUAUGUUCUUCCAAGAUUUUUUGUUUUUCUCUAAGGCUGCCCUGUUUUUUCUUCUUCAUCCCUUAGGAAGUAGGAGAGCUAUGAUCUCAAAAUAUGUUGCAUGUGUGCACAGAAGAAAAAGUACUCCAAAGGAUAAAAGUGCUACCGAACACUUCCCUUCCUACUUCAGUUCUGCUUCAGGCAGGAAUAGAAGGAGAGUGCAUUAUCUCUGUGCACAGGAAGAAGCAUCCUGUAGCAUAGAAUGCUGGUAAAAUGAAUUAUCUAUGCAAGAAAAGUUAAUUAAAGAAGAGGUUUUGUGAGAUCUGUAUUCUAAACAAUAUUAAAAUAAGCUGAGUUCAACUUUCUCAUGUCCCGCUUGUAUGCACUGCCAGGGAAAUGACAUACUGGACUGGGAAUACAUUGCAGUGACUUCUCAGCCACAGCUCAGGGAGCGGUGUGUCAUACCAGAUCAUCAGCCCAUUUCACUACAUAAACCAAGGCACGCACUGGUGUGGACUGCUUCAGAUCAUGGGUAAACAUUCCCACAGCACAACGUGCCUUUAUGCAGUUGCAUCGGGUUGAGUGGCAGAUAACGAAUGCAGACCAUCACCAAUGCCCUCAUGCUCAGCAGGAGACACAAGAAACUGUCAGAUAUGGCGAUAUGAGCUAAGUGAAGUGGCAUAUCAAAGUCAAAGAAUUUGUAUGUCAGCACAAUGGACCCUGGGAUGAAGCUGGAGGCAAAUGGUGACACAGGAUACCUACUAGAGCACUCUGAGCAACCAGAGGAGCUGAUCUGUGGACAAGGUUCCUGCUGCUAUCAGGACGCUGGUAGGACACUCCUGAGGACACGAGACCCCUGGCCAAAUGCCACAUAGGCACAAGGUAACCUCAUAGCUCCUCUCCCACUGCUGUGCUGGCAUGGAAGGCUGGAAUCGGAAUCACUGUGAGAAGGUGACAGCAUUUGAAAUGAAAACUCAGAUGUACCAGAUGGCAAGCGUAGCCCCAAGCAAAAGCAGAUCCCCAAAGGAAGGCACAAAAACAAAUACCAAACAGGCCUUUAAAGUAAAUGAGCAAACAAACAAACAAAAAGAGAAAGCCUUAAAGGGAAAUUCUUGAAAAAGUUACAAAAUCAUCUGAGAAAAAAGAAAGAUAGGUAGGAACGAAUGUGCAAUAAGGAAGGUGUGCUUUGCAUAAUGCUGCCCACUCCAUCUGAAGGAGCCUCCAGAUGUUCCCUGUUACUCUCAUGUGACUGCGAGUUGUGAAAUAGCUGGUGUGCUGUGAAGUGAGAAAAUCAACGCUGUGUUCUAGGCAGCCUCUGAUAUCAGGGGAACAGCAGAAUUACCUAUUUGGUAGAGUUUCCUUCAGAGCGGGUUUCAGAAUUAGCUCAUCACUCACGACAACACAUUCACAGGGAGAUGUGAGUUUUCUCCUCAGGAAAAAGCAGCUGGCGGAUGCAGCAGUCAAAGCCUAUUUUUCCAAAAGCAGCCUCUAAUCCCACUGAACACUGAGACGCUGUGAGUAUUCAGUCUGAAAAAUAAGGGCUGCAAUUUUCAGAGCUGCUGAGCAUUGCUGGGUCCCAUCUGAGAGUGCUGGAACUGCAGGCCCUGACCACCCUUCAGAAUGAUGCCAGAGCAAGCUCCACCUGAACCACUCAUUCCCCCCAGACAUCAUUGCCCAGUGAUUUCUUAUUGCUGAUUUUAGGUGGAAACGAGCAUCCCUGCUGAGCAUGUUGUGAGCCCAGAGCCUCAGUGCCAAUCUAAGUCAGAAAUAGAUGGGGACGUCCAACAGGAAAGGCAGAUGCUUCUGGCACCAGGCCCAUGCUCAGACAACUUUCCCCUUUUUAUUUGAGACUUUAUUUAUUUAUUUUGCUGCAGUGGAAUCGAUCAAAUUCCAAAUCCGUGUUAACUUUACAGACACCAAAAAUUUAAAAUCAAUAUAAGGUUAACUUGAUUAAAACUUUGAGAUUGCUUGGAGAAGAAUCGCAGGAGUCCACGUAUCAGUAAUAAUCCAUUCGCUCAGUUUCCUUCUUUAUAAUAACAGAGUACAUAAGCUUAUCCUUCCAUGUUUUGGGACAUCAUUGUUGAAUUGCUGUCUCUCUCUGCGGUGAUCUGCUUGGUUAACAGUACAAGUCCUGUGAGCACAUAUGGCAGUAAUACAAUGGUUGGUAACACUUACUGUGCUUAUUGGUGUGCUCAGGGCAGUACAGCUUAUGCUCACAGCACUUAAUUAGAACCUGACUGAAAAGAAAUGGCUUGAUUGCUGGAAGACUACUAAGAAUAAGUCUUCAGUUUUGUAUAUAGCUUCCUAUGAAUGAGAAAUCUUUCCAACUGGGAAAAAUCAAGUGCUUAAGAACAAAUGUGAAGUCUACGAUGUGCAUGAGCUGGUGUGCCUGACCACCAGCAUCUGAAGUGCUGCCACCACAAAGAAAGUGUGCAAUAUAAGCACUUUCCUACUUUCCUGUCUCACUUCUAUAGCACAGAAUUUAGGGAAGAAAUGUGUUUUAUAGCUGUGCAGUACACAGGAGAAGAACUGUCCAUCUCUGGUCGACCUAUCCAAGAUUCCCAUUGUGGUGGCAGGAAGACACAGCUCCUUCCCAUACAAACAGAUCUCUGUGUAUUUUAUGAGCUAUGUUAGCUGCUCAUAUGAACUAAGUAGGAGAAAAAACAUACUUGGAUAAUUUUGCCAAGGCACUUGGGGCUUUUAUUACCAAGUCUUUCUAUUUAGUUUCUCAGCAUGUUUUUCUACAGGAACCAUAGCAAUUUCUUUCUCUCUCUCUCUCUCUCUUUUUUUUUUUUUUAAGUCAGAAGAAGUGAGAACUGCUCUGAAUAAGCACUGUUCAAGCAGCCUGUAAAAAUUUCUCCACUUUUUUCCUUUAUUAAGAAUCUAUUUAAGCCGUCUGUUAUCAUUGUUUAGCUUAAAAAGAAACUGCUUUGCUUCUUACAUGUCAAAAGCUUACAUUAAAAGCAUCCUGGGAAGGCUA
This is an RNA transcript of Gallus gallus (chicken), 5231 nucleotides long. It is a transcript of the gene named transmembrane protein 68, with no coding region annotated. The record is from RefSeq and is marked validated. NCBI's taxonomy places the organism in Eukaryota, Metazoa, Chordata, Aves, Galliformes, Phasianidae. The transcript has 10 exons.